This is a small nuclear RNA of Cervus elaphus (red deer), 142 nucleotides long. RefSeq annotates it as U4 spliceosomal RNA. The record is from RefSeq and is a predicted model, not a curated record. The transcript has a single exon. Lineage: Eukaryota; Metazoa; Chordata; Mammalia; Artiodactyla; Cervidae.
AACUUUGCGCAGUGGCAGUAUCGUAGCCAAUGAGGUUUAUCCGAGGCGUGAUUAUUGCUAAUUGAAAACUUUUCCCAUAUUACCAAUUAGUGCUCUUUUUGUAAAAACUGGGAGAGGUGGUUAUUUUAUCUACUAUGCAGAA